This 1648-nucleotide long non-coding RNA is filed under the name Manihot esculenta (cassava). RNAcentral's name for it is "long non-coding RNA (MESC_LNC010348)". The record is from RNAcentral. Lineage: Eukaryota; Viridiplantae; Streptophyta; Magnoliopsida; Malpighiales; Euphorbiaceae.
UGCUCGAUCACCAUCUCCUCCAUCCCUUGGCUACCUGCCUACCAGAACAAGCACCAACAACCUCUGAUCAUGGUUUCAAAUCGCGGUCGCGGGUAACGGAAACAGGCCUGCAUAAAUUUUUUUAGAAAAUUUAUAAAGUCCAUGAAAUUAAAAUAUAUUGAAAGAUAUAACGAAAAUUAAGUUAUACAACUUAUAAACAAGUACAAAUAUAUUGAAUAAACAUAAAAUACAUAAAAUUUAAACAUUAUAUGUAGUAACUUACCUCAAUUACCACCAGAAUGAGCGUCUAGCAGGUUCUUGAGUAGAUCCACCACCUUCAUCUUGUGAUUGAGAGUUUUGAUCUUGAUGAUAUUGAUAGUAUUGAGAUGGAUCAAAGCUGAAGAAUGAACCCAUACCAAAUUGAUCACUAGGAUUGGACUGGGUUUGAGUGUGGGAGAAUGAUUGCUCUGACAAAGAUAAAUCAGAAUACGAUGGAGGAGGCUGAUAUGGAUAUGGAUUUGAGUAUUCCCAUUGAAAAUUUCCUCUAUAUCCAUAAUCACUAGUAGAGGUUGCUUCCAUUGAAGAUUCACUUGCACCAUAAGUUCCAUAUCCAUAAUUAUCUGCAUCCAUAGAACACUCUCCAUGUGCAACACAUUUUCCCUUAUCACUGCUACCACCAGAACUACGGGAUCUGUGAUAUGUAUGUUGCAAAGUUGGAGCUGGAGCUGGAGCUGGAGAUGGAGAUGGACUAUGCCUCUGAUAUGAAGAGGGAUCAUCAUGUGAUUGUAAUGAACUAGUAGCUCCACGACCUUCACCUCUUCCACCCUGACCACUACCACCAUCAUCAUCACUAGAACUAGAUAGUAUAAAAGAAUCUUCAGGUUCAGCAUCACCACUACCUCCAAUAUUAUGUCCAUGAGUUGGAGCAUUAACUUGUUGUGAUUGUGAUGGAGCGGGCUCAUCCUCCUCUAGCCAAGGAUUUUCUUCACCAUCAAGUACAGGAUCUUCCCUUUCCUCCAACUAAGGAUUUAGUGGAUCAUCUUCCUCGAAAAUGUAAUCCAAAUUAAUUGGAUUAUAACUCUUUUAUAGCUCAUGCUGACUCUUUCUGCUCAAAUUUCUCAACUUCAGCCGCAUAUUGUAGUGAACAAAGACGAGUACAUGCAAUUUUUGAUACCGUAAUCUGUUCCUCGUCUUUGUAUAUAUAAGUGAAAAAGUGCUCCAAUUUAUUUCACAAUUAGAUGCAGAAGUGGUUUGACUCAACACUCUUACUGCAAUUCUCUGUAGUUCAGGAGCACUUUCACCAUAAUGUAUCCACCAUUCAGCUGCAUUAAAACAUAUAAUAAUUUUAAUAAUAUAGGUUAUUUUCUCAAAUAUUUGAUUUUAUAUUUUAGAACACUAAAAAUAUAACAUAAUGUGUAAAUCUUAUAUUUUUACCUGGAUCAGUGAAUUUAAUGGCUUUUUGUGCUAAGGCGGACCCAAAACUCUCCAUUUUAUGCUUAUAAAGUUGUGUCUACACCAAUAAAAAAAAUUAUUUGCUUUAUUAUACUGCUAAAAUUAUUUAUUAAAAUUAUUCAAGUUAGCUAUAUAUUAUAUACUUACUUGGUUCAAUGCAUUGGCUUGAUUUACCAAAUCACUCUCUAGCCUUUGAAUAACAUUUUUAAGGCCUGCC